RNAcentral lists this ribosomal RNA (245 nucleotides) under uncultured bacterium. Its description in RNAcentral is "partial 16S ribosomal RNA". It matches the Rfam family "Bacterial small subunit ribosomal RNA", at positions 524 to 768 of the family's 1533-position model. The record is from RNAcentral.
UACAGAGGUGGCGAGCGUUGUUCGGAUUUACUGGGCGUAAAGGGUGCGUAGGUGGUGUGGUGUGUCGGGCGUGAAAUCCCACGGCUCAACUGUGGAACGCCGUCCGAAACUACCAUGCUAGAGUGCGGGAGGGGAGAGCGGAAUUCUCGGUGUAGCGGUGAAAUGUGUUGAUAUCGAGAGGAACACCGGUGGCGAAGGCGGCUCUCUGGAACGCAACUGACACUGAGGCACGAAAGAUGGGGGAG